Molecule: ribosomal RNA, 440 nt
Filed under: uncultured bacterium
Lineage: Bacteria
Description: partial 16S ribosomal RNA
Rfam family: Bacterial small subunit ribosomal RNA
Source: RNAcentral
CCUACGGGAUGCAGCAGUGGGUAAUAUUUCACAAUGGGGGAAACCCUGAUGCAGCCACGCCGCGUGAGUGAAGACGUAAUUCGUUAUGUAAAACUCUAUCAGCAUGGAAGUAAAUGACGGUACCUGAGUAAGAAGCCCCGGCUAACUACGUGCCAUCAGCCGCGGUAAUACGUAGGGGGCAAGCGUUAUCCGGAUUCACUGGGUGUAAAGGGAGCGUAGACGGGAGUGCAAGUCUGGAGUGAAAGGCGGGGUCGCAACCCCCGGACUGCUCUGGAAACUGGACGGCUGGAGUGCAGGAGAGGUAAGUGGAAUUCCUAGUGUAGCGGUGAAAUGCGGAGAGAUUAGGAGGAACACCAGUGGCGAAGGCGGCUGACUGGACUGUAACUGACGUUGAGGCUCGAAAGCGUGGGGAGCAAACAGGAUUAGAUACCCGGGUAGUC